This 757-nucleotide ribosomal RNA is filed under the name Cortinarius salmoneotomentosus var. pseudoparagaudis. Its description in RNAcentral is "eukaryotic LSU rRNA". The stretch from base 227 to 380 matches the Rfam family "5.8S ribosomal RNA". The record is from RNAcentral. Lineage: Eukaryota; Fungi; Basidiomycota; Agaricomycetes; Agaricales; Cortinariaceae.
UUUAGAGGAAGUAAAAGUCGUAACAAGGUUUCCGUAGGUGAACCUGCGGAAGGAUCAUUAUUGAAAUAAACCUGAUGGGUUGUUGCUGGCUCUCUAGGGAGCAUGUGCACACCUUGUCAUCUUUAUAUUUCCACCUGUGCACCUUUUGUAGACCCUCCCAGGUCUAUGUUUGCUUCAUUUACCCCUGAUGUAUGUUAAUAGAAUGUUGUGCCUAUAAAAUAUAUACAACUUUCAGCAACGGAUCUCUUGGCUCUCGCAUCGAUGAAGAACGCAGCGAAAUGCGAUAAGUAAUGUGAAUUGCAGAAUUCAGUGAAUCAUCGAAUCUUUGAACGCACCUUGCGCUCCUUGGUAUUCCGAGGAGCAUGCCUGUUUGAGUGUCAUUAAUAUAUAUAUAUCAACCCCCUCUUGUUGAGCGGUUUGGAUGUGGAGGUUUUUGCUGGCCGCCUAGAAAGGGUUCAGCUCCUCUGAAAUACAUUAGCGGAACAAACCUGUCCAUUCAUUGGUGUGAUAACUAUCUACGCUAUUGAAUGUGAGGCAGUUCAGCUUUCUAACGGUCCUUUGGACAACCUAUCAUUUUUAUGUGACCUCAAAUCAGGUAGGACUACCCGCUGAACUUAAGCAUAUCAAUAAGCGGAGGAAAAGAAACUAACAAGGAUUCCCCUAGUAACUGCGAGUGAAGCGGGAAAAGCUCAAAUUUAAAAUCUGGCGGUCUUUUGGCUGUCCGAGUUGUAAUCUAGAGAAGUGUUAUCCGCGCUGG